GGCUCAGGACGAACGCUGGCGGCGUGCUUAACACAUGCAAGUCGAACGAGUGGCGGACGGGUGAGUAACGCGUGAGCAACCUGCCCUGCAACGGGGGACAACAGUUGGAAACGACUGCUAAUACCGCAUGAGAAAAGUCGAUGCAGGAUGGGCUCGCGUCCCAUUAGAUAGUUGGUGAGGUAACGGCCCACCAAGUCAACGAUGGGUAGCCGACCUGAGAGGGUGAUCGGCCACACUGGAACUGAGACACGGUCCAGACUCCUACGGGAGGCAGCAGUGGGGAAUAUUGGGCAAUGGGGGAAACCCUGACCCAGCAACGCCGCGUGAGGGAAGAAGGUCUUCGGAUUGUAAACCUUUGUCCUAUGGGACGAUGACGGUACCAUAGGAGGAAGCUCCGGCUAACUACGUGCCAGCAGCCGCGGUAAUACGUAGGGAGCAAGCGUUGUCCGGAAUUACUGGGCGUAAAGGGUGCGUAGGUGGUCAUGUAAGUCAGAUGUGAAAGACCGGGGCUUAACCCCGGGGUUGCAUUUGAAACUGUGUGACUUGAGUACAGGAGAGGGAAGUGGAAUUCCUAGUGUAGCGGUGAAAUGCGUAGAUAUUAGGAGGAACACCAGUGGCGAAGGCGACUUUCUGGACUGACUGACACUGAGGCACGAAAGCGUGGGGAGCAAACAGGAUUAGAUACCCUGGUAGUCCACGCCGUAAACGAUGGAUACUAGGUGUGGGGCGUUCCGUGCCGAAGCAAACGCAUUAAGUAUCCCGCCUGGGGAGUACGAUCGCAAGGUUGAAACUCAAAGGAAUUGACGGGGGCCCGCACAAGCAGCGGAGCAUGUGGUUUAAUUCGAAGCAACGCGAAGAACCUUACCAAGGCUUGACAUCGACAGGUGGUGCAUGGUUGUCGUCAGCUCGUGUCGUGAGAUGUUGGGUUAAGUCCCGCAACGAGCGCAACCCUUAUUGCUAGUUGCCAGCGCGCGGGAACUCUAGUGAGACUGCCGGGGACAACUCGGAGGAAGGUGGGGACGACGUCAAAUCAUCAUGCCCCUUAUGUCUUGGGCUACACACGUGCUACAAUGGCCGGCAAAGGGCAGCGAACCCGUAAGGGGAAGCGAAUCUCAACCGGUCCCAGUUCGGAUGUGGGCUGCAACCCGCCCACAGAAGUCGGAGUUGCUAGUAAUCGCGAAUCAGCAUGUCGCGGUGAAUGCGUUCCCGGGCCUUGUACACACCGCCCGUCACACCACGGAAGUUGGGAGCACCCGAAGCCAGUGCUUAGAGAGCUGUCGAAGGUGAGAUCAAUGACUGGGGUGAAGUCGUAACAAGGUAGCCGUAUCGGAAGG
Molecule: ribosomal RNA, 1334 nt
Filed under: Christensenella minuta
Lineage: Bacteria; Bacillati; Bacillota; Clostridia; Christensenellales; Christensenellaceae
Also listed under: 1 other name
Description: bacterial SSU rRNA
Rfam family: Bacterial small subunit ribosomal RNA
Source: RNAcentral